RNAcentral lists this ribosomal RNA (467 nucleotides) under uncultured bacterium. RNAcentral's name for it is "bacterial SSU rRNA". It matches the Rfam family "Bacterial small subunit ribosomal RNA", at positions 28 to 507 of the family's 1533-position model. The record is from RNAcentral.
GACGAACGCUGGCGGCGUGCUUAACACAUGCAAGUCGAACGGUCCUGUUUUUGAAGCGCUUCGGCGUGGAGGGAGCGGGUUAGUGGCGCACGGGUGAGUAAUGCGCGAGGACCUGCCCGCGGGAGGGGGACAGCAGUUGGAAACGGCUGGUGAUACCCCGUAAGCCGGGAGGUAAAAGGGCGGAGACGCCCGCCUGCGGAUGGACUCGCGUCCUAUCAGCUAGUUGGUGAGGCAACGGCUCACCAAGGCGACGACGGGUAGCCGGCCUGAGAGGGUGUCCGGCCACACUGGAACUGAGACACGGUCCAGACUCCUACGGGAGGCAGCAGUGGGGAAUUUUGGGCAAUGGGGGAGACCCUGACCCAGCGACGCCGCGUGAGGGACGAAGGCCCUUGGGUCGUAAACCUCUUUUGCAGGGGAAGAAGAAGAUGACGGUACCUUGCGAACAAGUCCCGGCUAACUACGUG